ACGUAGGGAGCAAGCGUUGUCCGGAUUUACUGGGUGUAAAGGGUGCGUAGGCGGCUAGGCAAGUCAGAAGUGAAAUCCAUGGGCUUAACCCAUGAACUGCUUUUGAAACUGCUUAGCUUGAGUGAAGUAGAGGUAGGCGGAAUUCCCGGUGUAGCGGUGAAAUGCGUAGAGAUCGGGAGGAACACCAGUGGCGAAGGCGGCCUACUGGGCUUUAACUGACGCUGAGGCACGAAAGCAUGGGUAGCAAACAG
RNAcentral lists this ribosomal RNA (251 nucleotides) under uncultured bacterium. RNAcentral's name for it is "partial 16S ribosomal RNA". It matches the Rfam family "Bacterial small subunit ribosomal RNA", at positions 525 to 775 of the family's 1533-position model. The record is from RNAcentral.